This 355-nucleotide ribosomal RNA is filed under the name uncultured bacterium. Its description in RNAcentral is "partial 16S ribosomal RNA". It matches the Rfam family "Bacterial small subunit ribosomal RNA", at positions 338 to 690 of the family's 1533-position model. The record is from RNAcentral.
CCUACGGGUGGCAGCAGUGAGGAAUAUUGGUCAAUGGGCGCGAGCCUGAACCAGCCAAGUAGCGUGAAGGAUGACUGCCCUACGGGUUGUAAACUUCUUUUAUAAAGGAAUAAAGUGAGGCACGUGUGCCUUUUUGUAUGUACUUUAUGAAUAAGGAUCGGCUAACUCCGUGCCAGCAGCCGCGGUAAUACGGAGGAUCCGAGCGUUAUCCGGAUUUAUUGGGUUUAAAGGGAGCGUAGAUGGGUUGUUAAGUCAGUUGUGAAAGUUUGCGGCUCAACCGUAAAAUUGCAAUUGAGACUGGAAGCGUUGAGUACAGUCAGGGGAGGGGAAUUUCGUGGUGUAGCGUUUAAAUGCU